CUGUUUCCUGGUUGUCUACAAGCAGUGCUGUUUCCUGGUUGUCUACAAGCAGGGCUGUUUCCUGGUUGUCUACAAGCAAGACUGUUGACAGGGAGUGGCAAGAAGUAGAAUGAUAGCACAAUCAUACUGUUACCCAGGCUAGCGCUAGUGGUUACCCAGGCUAGCGCUAGUGGUUACCCAGGCUAGCGCUAGUGGUUGAUGGGCUACAAAACCUUCAAAAAACAAAGACAGGAUGCUUCACCUAGAGCAACUCUCGGACAACUCUCGGACAACUCUCGAACAACUCUCAAACAACUCUCAAACAACUCUCAAACAACUCUAAAACAACUCUAAAACAACUAUAAAACAACUCUCAAACAACUCUCAAACAACUCUAGACCUACUGGAGUGUUUACUUCAGCACACAGUGUCUGUGUCCCAAAUGGCAACCAAUUCCCUAUUUAGGGCAAUACAUUUGACCUGGGCCCAUAGGUCUCUCGUCAAAAGUAGUGAACUAUAUAGCGAAUAGGGUC
Molecule: long non-coding RNA, 512 nt
Organism: Oncorhynchus tshawytscha (Chinook salmon)
Lineage: Eukaryota; Metazoa; Chordata; Actinopteri; Salmoniformes; Salmonidae
Source: Ensembl